UGCUGACUGCAUGAUGACCAAUCUUUUUUCCCCAUCAGAGCGACACUGUUGACCUGGUACUUUAUAAGCCAAUAUUGUCUGAUUGUCAGCA
Molecule: small nucleolar RNA, 91 nt
Filed under: Leptobrachium leishanense (Leishan spiny toad)
Lineage: Eukaryota; Metazoa; Chordata; Amphibia; Anura; Megophryidae
Description: Small nucleolar SNORD12/SNORD106 (ENSLLEG00000025463.1)
Rfam family: Small nucleolar SNORD12/SNORD106
About the family: This family belong to the C/D class of snoRNA which contain the C (UGAUGA) and D (CUGA) box motifs. This family includes the human ortholog of mouse snoRNA HBII-99 and human snoRNA U106. In humans both HB11-99 and U106 snoRNAs share the same host gene.
Source: Rfam by way of RNAcentral